This is a small nuclear RNA of Erinaceus europaeus (western European hedgehog), 107 nucleotides long. The record is from Ensembl. NCBI's taxonomy places the organism in Eukaryota, Metazoa, Chordata, Mammalia, Eulipotyphla, Erinaceidae.
GUGCUUGCUUUGGAAGCACAUAUCCUAAAAUUGGAAUGAUACAGAGGAAAUUAGCAUGGGUCCUGUGCAAGGAUGGCACACAAAUUCAUGAAGCGUUCCACAUUUUU